GACGAACGCUGGCGGCGUGCUUAACACAUGCAAGUCGAACGGAAAGGCCCUGCUUUUGUGGGGUGCUCGAGUGGCGAACGGGUGAGUAACACGUGAGUAACCUGCCCUUGACUUUGGGAUAACUUCAGGAAACUGGGGCUAAUACCGGAUAGGAGCUCCUGCUGCAUGGUGGGGGUUGGAAAGUUUCGGCGGUUGGGGAUGGACUCGCGGCUUAUCAGCUUGUUGGUGGGGUAGUGGCUUACCAAGGCUUUGACGGGUAGCCGGCCUGAGAGGGUGACCGGCCACAUUGGGACUGAGAUACGGCCCAGACUCCUACGGGGGGCAGCGGUGGGGAAUAUUGCACAAUGGGCGGAAGCCUGAUGCAGCAACGCCGCGUGCGGGAUGACGGCCUUCGGGUUGUAAACCGCUUUCGCCUGUGACGAAGCGUGAGUGACGGUAAUGGGUAAAGAAGCACCGGCUAACUACGUG
This 468-nucleotide ribosomal RNA is filed under the name uncultured bacterium. Its description in RNAcentral is "partial 16S ribosomal RNA". It matches the Rfam family "Bacterial small subunit ribosomal RNA", at positions 28 to 507 of the family's 1533-position model. The record is from RNAcentral.